This is a non-coding RNA of Pelobates cultripes (western spadefoot toad), 849 nucleotides long. Lineage: Eukaryota; Metazoa; Chordata; Amphibia; Anura; Pelobatidae. The record is from the annotation of a GenBank genome assembly.
UAGAUUUUACUAUAAUCAUUUUGAGUGCGGUAUUCAUAAUUGUUUGUGAUUUAGAUUAGGAGGUUGUUGUAGGGUUAAACCUCGAAUACCUGCACCUUGCAUAAUUGAGUGCCAGCACAUAUUGUGUUUUUGUAAUUUGAUUUAUAUGCUACUAUUUCUUACAACUAUAUACUUUAAGGCAGCAGUAAAUCGUACAAGGAUUCCCCAAAACCUUGUAGGAAUAGAGAUACAGAAGAUAUACAAAAAAUAGAUAACCGCGCCUUAAAACACAGUAAUGUACAAAAAUGAAGUCAAAUAUAAAUCAUAGGUACAUACUUUUUUGUUAAAAGUCUAUGAAGUCUUUGGCUGUUAUAUAGAUACAUAUUGCACCACUGGAUAUUUCAAUUGUUGUCUUCACAUAUUCGAGACACAGAUAAAGACUACCACCACUGAAGCUGAAAAUAUAUCCAGUGAGAGGGAUUGUACCGUCUAUGCCCUACACAGCAGAGCUCUUUGUAGCUCUAUAAAUUGUGAGUGAGUUUUUGCUAUAGCAUGCUACUUCACGGUGUUAAAGACAUACUGCACUAUUAUUGUCUCUUUUUCCUUGAGAUACCAUGCACUGUAUAUCAACUGAAGACUUCAUAGACUUUUAUCAAAAAAGUAUGUACAUAUGAUUUAUAUUUGACUUCAUUUUUGUACAUUACUGUGUUUUAAGGCGCGGUUAUCUGUUUUAUGUAUUUGUACACUGGAAGAAUGAGACAUAGAGGGACCAUUGAAGGUAUGAGAUACAUGCAGCCACUAGGGGUAUGAGACAUAUGAGGACAUUGGAGCUGAGACACGUGGGGACACUGAGGGUAUGAGACACAUGGC